CUCCACACAGCGAAACUCUCUCUCCAGUUUACAGGACAGCUGGACGGAAACAUGAACUCUGUUCAGUUUAUUUAUCAGGAGAGUCUAAACAACUGCAGCAGCCGCAGAAAACACGGCACACUUCUGAACCUGUGAUCAUAAUAUCAUCACUAAGUGACCCGCUGGACGACAGGAAGCUGUAGUGGUUGUGGAAGAGGACUGAACGCCAGAACUGCUCCUGGAGGACGACACAGAGUCUCUCUGGUGUUACAUACAGGUGACCAUGUGUUGCCAAGGGAACGGUUCAGCAUCCGCACCACC
This is a non-coding RNA of Plectropomus leopardus (leopard coralgrouper), 300 nucleotides long. NCBI's taxonomy places the organism in Eukaryota, Metazoa, Chordata, Actinopteri, Perciformes, Serranidae. The record is from RefSeq and is a predicted model, not a curated record.